CCACCGGCCACUCAUGUCCUGUCCAGGUGUUCUUCGUUGUUCCCUGAUUUGCUUCAGUCCAUGGCUGAGCUCGGAUGCUCAUUGAGAUGCAGUCUGCAACACCGCUGGAGCACAACAGAGUUUCUCCUGACUGCCGGAGUGACCUCCAAGUACCGUACAUCAGUAACGUGAAGUCUGACAACAACGAGACCGGAGACGGCAAUGAAUGGCCUUUCUUGCAAAGACACAAGCACAGAAGACAGAAGGUCUGUCGCCUUCUCAUUGCCAAAUAACCUGUGGGGCAACAUACUGUAAACUCUUUAAACAAAACACAAACAACAAGCCCAAAUCAGUAAUGGAAAUUAGAGCGUGGCGUACAGUACAUGGAGGAUCGCGUUUCGAAUGGUGUCGGUGGGCAAAGAGGGAAAAUCACUUCUGACUUUGUAAAAUACCACAUUUUUGU
Long non-coding RNA from Syngnathoides biaculeatus (alligator pipefish), 442 nucleotides. RefSeq lists it as uncharacterized. Lineage: Eukaryota; Metazoa; Chordata; Actinopteri; Syngnathiformes; Syngnathidae. The record is from RefSeq and is a predicted model, not a curated record. The transcript has 3 exons.